Molecule: ribosomal RNA, 420 nt
Filed under: uncultured bacterium
Lineage: Bacteria
Description: bacterial SSU rRNA
Rfam family: Bacterial small subunit ribosomal RNA
Source: RNAcentral
GAGGAAUAUUGGUCAAUGGACGGAAGUCUGAACCAGCCAUGCCGCGUGAAGGAUGAAGGCGUUCUGCGUUGUAAACUUCUUUUAUUUGAGAAGAAACCACUUUUUUCUAAGAGUGUUGACGGUAUCAGAUGAAUAAGCACCGGCUAACCCCGUGCCAGCAGCCGCGGUAAUACGGAGGGUGCAAGCGCUAUCCGGAUUUACUGGGUUUAAAGGGUGUGUAGGCGGACUUUUAAGUCAGGGGUGAAAUCCCGGGGCUCAACCCCGGAACUGCCUUUGAUACUAUUAGUCUUGAAUUAUGUUGAGGUUGGCGGAAUAUAACAUGUAGCGGUGAAAUGCAUAGAUAUGUUAUAGAACACCGAUUGCGAAGGCAGCUGGCUAAACAUAUAUUGACGCUGAGGCACGAAAGCGUGGGUAGCGAAC